GCCAUCUUAGCUUAGUCGGCAGAGCAACGGUAUCGUAAACCGUAGGUCCCGAGUUCGAUUCUCGGAGAUGGCU
Molecule: transfer RNA, 73 nt
Filed under: Candidatus Kaiserbacteria bacterium RIFCSPHIGHO2_01_FULL_46_22
Lineage: Bacteria; Candidatus Kaiseribacteriota
Description: tRNA-Thr
Rfam family: tRNA
About the family: Transfer RNA (tRNA) molecules are approximately 80 nucleotides in length. Their secondary structure includes four short double-helical elements and three loops (D, anti-codon, and T loops). Further hydrogen bonds mediate the characteristic L-shaped molecular structure. tRNAs have two regions of fundamental functional importance: the anti-codon, which is responsible for specific mRNA codon recognition, and the 3' end, to which the tRNAs corresponding amino acid is attached (by aminoacyl-tRNA synthetases). tRNAs cope with the degeneracy of the genetic code in two manners: having more than one tRNA (with a specific anti-codon) for a particular amino acid; and 'wobble' base-pairing, i.e. permitting non-standard base-pairing at the 3rd anti-codon position.
Source: RNAcentral